Molecule: ribosomal RNA, 750 nt
Filed under: Nipponaphera agastor
Lineage: Eukaryota; Metazoa; Mollusca; Gastropoda; Neogastropoda; Cancellariidae
Description: partial 16S ribosomal RNA
Rfam family: Bacterial large subunit ribosomal RNA (bases 1-592)
Source: RNAcentral
UAGAUCAAAAACGAGGCUCCUGUAGUUUGUAGAUAAGGAGUCGGACCUNCCCGGUGAAUCUAUUUAACGCCGCGGGACCCUGACCGUGCGAAGGUAGCAUAAUAACUGCCUUAUAAUUGGAGGAUUGUAGGAAUGGUUUGACUUGAACAAAUCUGUCUCUUUAUGAUUUUAUAGAAAUUUUAUUUUUAGGUGAAGAAGCCUAAAUGUAAUUAAUAGACAAGAAGACCCUAUCGAGCUUUAAAGAAAUUAGUAGAGUUAUUGAUAUAUAAUUAUAAAAAAUUUAACUAUUAAAAAUUUUGGUUGGGGCGACUCAGGAACAAAAAAAGCUUCCUAGAUUUAAGGUACUUACAUGUGUUGAUCCAAAUUUUUUGAUUUAAGGAAUUAGUUACCGUAGGGAUAACAGCAUUAUCUUCUUUGAGAGUUCUUAUCGAAAAGGGGGUUUGUGACCUCGAUGUUGGACCAGAAUGUCCUAAAGAUGCAGAAGUCUUUAAGGGUUGGUCUGUUCGACCAUUAAAAUUCUACGUGAUCUGAGUUCAGACCGGCGUGAGCCAGGUCAGUUUCUAUCUUUAAUUUUUUAUGCAAGCUUAGUACGAAAGGACCAGCUUGUAGUAUUAAAUGCUGCAGGUGAAGUAAUAUAAUUAAUGGUUGCUGGAUUAGGGGAUAAUAAUGCAAUUGACUUAGGAUCAUUAGAUAUAGGUGAGAGUCCUUUAUUCAGUAUGGUUAAGAUGGCACAUUUAGUGCAUUAUGUUU